Molecule: ribosomal RNA, 262 nt
Filed under: uncultured bacterium
Lineage: Bacteria
Description: partial 16S ribosomal RNA
Rfam family: Bacterial small subunit ribosomal RNA
Source: RNAcentral
GUCCAUGCCGUAAACGUUGGGAACUAGGUGUGGGUCUCAUUCCACGAGGUCCGUGCCGCAGCUAACGCAUUAAGUUCCCCGCCUGGGGAGUACGGCCGCAAGGCUAAAACUCAAAGGAAUUGACGGGGGCCCGCACAAGCGGCGGAGCAUGUGGAUUAAUUCGAUGCAACGCGAAGAACCUUACCAAGGCUUGACAUAUACCGGAAACAUCCAGAGAUGGGUGCCCCGCAAGGUCGGUAUACAGGUGGUGCAUGGUUGUCGU